CUCAGGGAGGUAGUGACAAGAAAUAACAACACUGGAAAUUUUAUUUCUAGUGAUUGGAAUGUUGGGAAUUUAAACCCCUUUCAGAGUAACAAUUGGAGGGCAAGUCUGGUGCCAGCAGCCGCGGUAAUUCCAGCUCCAAUAGCGUAUAUUAAAGUUGUUGCAGUUAAAAAGCUCGUAGUUGGAUGUCUGCUGGAAGCAAUCAGUCCGCCCUAUUUGUAGGGUGUGCACUUGAUGAAUUCUGGCAUCUAUGUCCCAAUGAUAUACGCGAUGGUGUUAUUAAUAUAUAGGUUGAUCCUGUAUAUUAUAUACCCAUUUGUGUAAUAUUGGGAUAAUACCGUUACUUUGAGAAAAUUAGAGUGUUUGAAGCAGGCUAAUUGCCUUGAAUACUGCAGCAUGGAAUAACAAUAUAGGAUUUCGGUUCUAUUUUGUUGGUUUCUAGGACUGAAAUAAUGAUUAAUAGGGACAGUUGGGGGCAUUCGUAUUUAACUGUCAGAGGUGAAAUUCUUAGAUUUGUUAAAGACGAACUACUGCGAAAGCAUUUGCCAAAGAUGUUUUCAUUAAUCAAGAACGAAAGUUAGGGGCUCGAAGACGAUCAGAUACCGUCGUAGUCUUAACCAUAAACUAUGCCGACUAGAGAUAGGAAACUGUCAUUUUUCUGACUU
This 662-nucleotide ribosomal RNA is filed under the name Sarcocystis sp. RNAcentral's name for it is "SSU rRNA". It matches the Rfam family "Eukaryotic small subunit ribosomal RNA", at positions 455 to 1077 of the family's 1831-position model. Lineage: Eukaryota; Apicomplexa; Conoidasida; Eucoccidiorida; Sarcocystidae. The record is from RNAcentral.